RNAcentral lists this long non-coding RNA (1215 nucleotides) under Anser cygnoides (Swan goose). RNAcentral describes it as "lncRNA (ENSACDG00005000511.1)". Lineage: Eukaryota; Metazoa; Chordata; Aves; Anseriformes; Anatidae. The record is from RNAcentral.
GGAUAUUUUAUGAUUCUAUGAUUCUACCUGCAGCUGCAAGCAGAGAGCACCUGGGGGCUCAGCCUGCCGGAGAAGGACGCCGCCUCCCCUUCCAGGCCUGGGCAGAAAGCUCUAAGCCUCGAUUUUUUGUGUUUUUCCACUCCUCCGUUCCCCCGAAGCUGCAUAGCUCUGAUUCAUCACGUCGGCCGCGCUGUUUUUAGCGUUGUCCAUUAGUCGGAGCCUGCUGUCACCCUCUGCAGUGUGUUACGUAGCCCGGUGUCUCCUGCUAUUAGUCUGCCUCAUCGUGGCUGAGCCGCUGGAGAAAUGGAGGCUGAGGCAAGGCUUAGUACCUUCUGCGGCCGGCUGUCCGGCAGCACUUUCAUCUCCUCGCCACAGACGUUGGUAGACCGCAGAAAGCCCCACGGGGAGGAGAAGAGCCAGCAGGGCACCGGGAGAGAGCAGAAACUUUCCCCAGCUGCCAUCAGGGACUGGGCUAAACCUCGGCGUCUCCCCUGCUCCUGUACCUCCCGAAGGAAGCUGGCGGAUGCCGGCGGUGCAGAGAUGCUCAGAGAGGAGAUAAGUAAGCCCAGAGAGCUGAAAUGCCAAGCUUUUUUUUUUUUUUACUUCCAGUUUUACCUGUGGCUGCUGGUGGCACUGGUUGUGCAAUGGGGGAUUGCCCUGGAGAAGUGUUCUCCGAACAGCCACGGUCGUGUCUCUCGCCCUCUGCCUUGCUCGAGCCCUCCCGGAGGCAGCCUGCUCUCCCUGGGAUGGAUUUGCGAAGCAAAGUGGCGAACCGUGGAGGUAAAGAGAGAAACAGGGGCACAAUUCCCCAGAAAACACAUGCCCAUAAUACAUGCUGGUUUUAGAAGCUGUUUGGUUGCCCCUUUGGCAGGGUGCUUCCAAGGAAAGCCAGCUGGGGGACAGAGGGGACAGGCAGCACCGCUGUCACGCACAGAUGUCUCGGACACCCGAGAGGGUUCAGCCACGCUGCGGCCGUGGAGCUGCCCGGGGACAGCUGGGAAGGGGCAGGUCGCCUUUCGUCUCCAUCCUGUGCCUGGUUUAGUCACGAAGGACACCGGUGAUGCUACUGGGAGGAAAUGUCUCAGGCUGUCAGAGCUGGAGUCGGUGUCACAGGAGACAAUGGGUGCUGAUUUAGGAUGGAGACAACUGUUCUUUCUUAGGAUGGUUGCAAACCGGCACAUCCCAGCCUCAUUCCCAAAUUUUUGUCUUCCUUGA